CCUUGUAGUGGGGGAUAACCUGGGGAAACUCGGGCUAAUACCGUAUAAUCUCUUUGGAGCAAAGCGGGGGAUCUUCGGACCUCGUGCUAUAAGAUGAGCCUACGUCGGAUUAGCUUGUUGGUGGGGUAAUGGCCUACCAAGGCGACGAUCCGUAGCUGGUCUGAGAGGACGAUCAGCCACACUGGGACUGAGACACGGCCCAGACUCCUACGGGAGGCAGCAGUGGGGAAUAUUGGACAAUGGGGGAAACCCUGAUCCAGCAAUGCCGCGUGUGUGAAGAAGGCCUUCGGGUUGUAAAGCACUUUCGGUGGGGAAGAAAUUCUCAAGGGUAAUAUCCUUGGGCGUUGACGUUACCCACAGAAGAAGCACUGGCUAACUCUGUGCCAGCAGCCGCGGUAAUACAGAGAGUGCAAGCGUUAAUCGGAAUCACUGGGCGUAAAGCGCGCGUAGGUGGAUAUUUAAGUCGGAUGUGAAAGCCCUGGGCUUAACCUGGGAAUUGCACCCGAUACUGGGUAUCUUGAGUAUGGUAGAGGGAAGUGGAAUUUCCGGUGUAGCGGUGAAAUGCGUAGAUAUCGGAAAGAACACCAGUGGCGAAGGCGACUUCCUGGACCAAUACUGACACUGAGGCGCGAAAGCGUGGGGAGCAAACAGGAUAGAGA
Molecule: ribosomal RNA, 659 nt
Filed under: Coxiella burnetii
Lineage: Bacteria; Pseudomonadati; Pseudomonadota; Gammaproteobacteria; Legionellales; Coxiellaceae
Description: bacterial SSU rRNA
Rfam family: Bacterial small subunit ribosomal RNA
Source: RNAcentral